GUGGGAGCUGGCUUGCCAGCGAUGGCGGUCUGUCAGUCAACAUCGAUGUUGAAUGUGACGGCCUCAUCGCUGGCAAGCCAGCUCCCAC
This 88-nucleotide unclassified non-coding RNA is filed under the name Pseudomonas sp. B10. Lineage: Bacteria; Pseudomonadati; Pseudomonadota; Gammaproteobacteria; Pseudomonadales; Pseudomonadaceae. The record is from RNAcentral.